ACCAACAGGGAUUGCCCUAGUAACGGCGAGUGAAGCGGCAACAGCUCAAAUUUGAAAUCUGGCCCUCGGGUCCGAGUUGUAAUUUGUAGAGGAUGCUUUUGGCGCGGUGCCUUCCGAGUUCUCUGGAACGAGACGCCUUAGAGGGUGAGAGCCCCGUACGGUUGGACACCAAGCCUCUGUAAAGCUCCUUCGACGAGUCGAGUAGUUUGGGAAUGCUGCUCUAAAUGGGAGGUAAAUUUCUUCUAAAGCUAAAUAUUGGCCAGAGACCGAUAGCGCACAAGUAGAGUGAUCGAAAGAUGAAAAGCACUUUGAAAAGAGGGUUAAAUAGCACGUGAAAUUGUUGAAAGGGAAGCGUUUGCGACCAGACCUUGUCCUGGCGGAUCAUCCGGUGUUCUCACCGGUGCACUUCGCCAGGUCGAGGCCAGCAUCGGUUUCUGCGGGGGGAUAAAAGCUCUGGGAACGUAGCUCUUUCGGGAGUGUUAUAGCCCUCUGCAUAAUACCCUCGCGGGGACCGAGGACCGCGCUUUAUGCAAGGAUGCUGGCGUAAGGGUCGUCAACGACCCGUCUUGAAACACGGGCCAAGGAGUCGAACAUUUGUGCGAGUGUUUGGGUGUCAAACCCUCACGCGUAAUGAAGGUGAACGUAGGUGAGAGCCCUUACGGGUGCAUCAUCGACCGAUCCUGAUGUCUUCGGAUGGAUUUGAGUAAGAGCAUAACUGUUCGGACCCGAAAGAUGGUGAACUAUGCGUGGAUAGGGUGAAGCCAGAGGAAACUCUGGUGGAGGCUCGCAGCGGUUCUGACGUGCAAAUCGAUCGUCAAAUCUGCGCAUGGGGGCGAAAGACUUAUCGAACCAUCUAGUAG
This 860-nucleotide ribosomal RNA is filed under the name Stilbohypoxylon elaeidis. Its description in RNAcentral is "Xylariaceae sp. SK-2020a partial large subunit ribosomal RNA". It matches the Rfam family "Eukaryotic large subunit ribosomal RNA", at positions 64 to 950 of the family's 3401-position model. The record is from RNAcentral. Lineage: Eukaryota; Fungi; Ascomycota; Sordariomycetes; Xylariales; Xylariaceae.